GAUGAACGCUGGCGGCGUGCCUAAUACAUGCCAGUCGAGCGAACGGACGAGAAGCUUGCUUCUCUGAUGUUAGCGGCGGACGGGUGAGUAACACAUGGAUAACCUACCUAUAAGACUGGGAUAACUUCGGGAAACCGGAGCUAAUACCGGAUAAUAUUUUGAACCGCAUGGUUCAAAAGUGAAAGACGGUCUUGCUGUCACUUAUAGAUGGAUCCGCGCUGCAUUAGCUAGUUGGUAAGGUAACGGCUUACCAAGGCAACGAUGCAUAGCCGACCUGAGAGGGCGACCGGCCACACUGGAACUGAGACACGGUCCAGACUCCUACGGGAGGCAGCAGUAGGGAAUUUUCCGCAAUGGGCGAAAGCCUGACGGAGCAAUGCCGCGUGAGUGAUGAAGGUCUUCGGAUCGUAAAACUCUGUUAUUCGGGAAGAACAUAUGUGUAAGUAACUGCGCACAUCUUGACGGUACCUAAUCAGAAAGCCCCGGCUAACUACGUG
Molecule: ribosomal RNA, 497 nt
Filed under: uncultured bacterium
Lineage: Bacteria
Description: partial 16S ribosomal RNA
Rfam family: Bacterial small subunit ribosomal RNA
Source: RNAcentral